Molecule: long non-coding RNA, 1746 nt
Organism: Esox lucius (northern pike)
Lineage: Eukaryota; Metazoa; Chordata; Actinopteri; Esociformes; Esocidae
Source: Ensembl
GGCAGCCAUGUGUUGCUAUUGCAGACAACAGUUUCAUUAUUAUAAUGAUAUUUACAGUUAGCUACAUGAUAGUGUGUCUAAGACGGACAGACAGACUAAGUGAAGAGAAGCCAGAGGGACUCUUAGACUAUACAGGACUUAACACAUUCAAAAAGUGCUCACCCAGGGUCAGAUCCAGCCUGUUCAUGUACACGUCACAUAUUAAUAUCUGUAAGGCCAAACAGAUCCUAGAUCUGUCGCCAGCCCUUCUAACGAGAUUCCAGGCCUGGGAGAGAGAGGGAAGGAGGACACAUGACUGUGGUGCUCUGAGGCAGACUUAUUGGCCAUCAAAUACAGCUCCCUAUUCCCCAUGAUAGGACACCACUUCUGGUGUCACAGGGGGCACGUCCGUCAGUCCUGCUCAGGGUCAAAGUGCCACACGUGUAAUCUGCCGUUUCUUUCUGCAGCCAUGCACAAUAAAGCACUCGUCUGGAUCCAUGGGUGAAGGGCAGUGUUGGCCUCAGCCCUGACCCCUCCGACCCACAGAUCAGUACCCCUCAGUGGUAAAUGGGGCCUCUCCAACCAAGCCGGGUCUGCUGUCAGCAGCUGUUCUGGUUCAACAUUCAUAUAGUUUCCACUUAAUUAAUAGUUUAAACAGGCAUUCUAGGAAAAUAAUGUCUGUCCUUUCACAAUGAAUAUACAGAUGAAAUUAACAUCUGGGAAUCUUCAUAGUUUAGCCUGCCUUUCUAAACCCGGGCAGUAGGGGGAAGGUUGUUUGACAUCAUUAACAUGCAAGCAGGCAUUCUGAGGUUCACGCAGUCAGCCAACUAACCAAUCUGUCAGCCAACUAACCAACCGAUCAGCCACCAGCUUCCUAGGUGGUUAGACAGGGAGAGGCAGAGAUGCUGAGAUGAGAGGAUCAUUCUCUGUAAACACAGUCAUGGUUGAUUGUGCUCUUUAAACCACUGCGAGCAGGCCAAGAUGCUGGGGCUUUUACGUUUUUGGUCUAUUCCAUUGGCAAAUUGAGACAGACGAGGACCAAUCAAGCACACGUGAAACUUCACAUCUUCGGGUUGUGAUCAGACCUUCUCAGCUCAGUUUUACGCGUCACACUCCGUCCCAACCCUCCUUAUAGCAGGUCAAAGACCCUAUAACCCUGUAAAUACCCAAUACCACUAUGAUACCCUAUAACCCUGCAGAGCCAUUACCCUCUAUAACACUCCAAUACUUUACGAACAUAUAACCUUAAACAACUACAUAAGCCCCUGUAACAUUACAACCGUAUAACCCCCCCCAACCAUUUAUAAACCUCUACAACCUUAUAAACCAAUAAGACUGUAAAGAUCCCCAAACUCUCUAUAACCCCCAUAUAACUGAGCUGAGACUGCCUAUGUAGCAUUGCCUUCAACCAGAGCUGUUCACUACUUCUUACCAGUGCUUUGGACACACUAGGGAACAAUGGACCAUCUGAGAUUGUUUUGACGUCAUACUGUGCAACAGCACUGCUGUCCUCCUCCUCUCCUCACAGCUUAAACAGGGACAAUGUGGCUGUCAUCCAGUCCGCAACCCCGCCUUGCUUCACCCACGCUAUUAUACUGACAUACAACCCCAGGUUUCCUCCACCCACCCCUUUAUACUGACAUGCAGUAUUACACACACACACACACACAAAAACACCAGCGAAUUUCAAAAGGGAGGAUUUUGUUUGAUUUUAACUAUUAAAAAGCUCACAUAACUAGCAUUUUCCCAAGCAAUAUAAUUGGAGGC